This 238-nucleotide ribosomal RNA is filed under the name uncultured bacterium. Its description in RNAcentral is "partial 16S ribosomal RNA". It matches the Rfam family "Bacterial small subunit ribosomal RNA", at positions 96 to 334 of the family's 1533-position model. The record is from RNAcentral.
CGGCGGACGGGUGAGUAACGCGUGGGUAACCUGCCUCAUACAGGGGGAUAACAGUUGGAAACGGCUGCUAAUACCGCAUAAGCGCACAGUACCGCAUGGUACGGUGUGAAAAACUCCGGUGGUAUGAGAUGGACCCGCGUCUGAUUAGGUAGUUGGUGGGGUAACGGCCCACCAAGCCGACGAUCAGUAGCCGACCUGAGAGGGUGACCGGCCACAUUGGGACUGAGACACGGCCCAA